This 517-nucleotide long non-coding RNA is filed under the name Ananas comosus (pineapple). RNAcentral's name for it is "long non-coding RNA (ACOM_LNC036051)". The record is from RNAcentral. Lineage: Eukaryota; Viridiplantae; Streptophyta; Magnoliopsida; Poales; Bromeliaceae.
UAUUACAAUCAGAAACAAACAAAUAUUUUGCCAUAACACUUUCUUCUUAUAGGUAACACCACUACAAUAAAAACGAUUUAUAGCAGCACUUUUAAAUGUAAGUACAUGUCAAAAAAGUGUUGCUAGCUAAAAUUACCGACACUUUUAAAAAGUGUUGCUAUAUGUGGGGUCGCUAGGUAUAUUGUGACGGUUAAAGAAUGUCGCUAUAACCUAAAAAGUGUUGCUAAUUUACCAACACUUAUUUAAGCAUUUAGCAACCGCCGAAACUCUAUCUCGUUGGCUGCGGUGACGGAAGAGGACGACAGUAAAGGCUCUUCGUCUAGAAUUUCAAUGGAUUGAGUGAAGAGAGAAGAAAAGAUGAUAAUUGAUUUUUUUUUUUUUUUUUCUGUUUGUAAUCGGGCCAAAUGGACUGGGUGUGGUGGGUUGAGUAGAGUAAUCUUUUAUUUUUGGUUGAAUUGGGCUUUAUAUUUAGGCAUUAGUAGAUGUGUUUUUAAGUUUUAGCAUAAAUGGAACACUU